RNAcentral lists this long non-coding RNA (280 nucleotides) under Monodelphis domestica (gray short-tailed opossum). Its description in RNAcentral is "lncRNA (ENSMODG00000044135.1)". Lineage: Eukaryota; Metazoa; Chordata; Mammalia; Didelphimorphia; Didelphidae. The record is from RNAcentral.
ACGUUGAUCUAAGCUGUUUGCCUUGAUUUUCUGUGAGGGAUACUGAACAAUGGGCCACAGUUCAAUUCAUGAAGCUAUGAUCUAGGUAGAGAACCGCAGUGAGUGGACUGUCUCUGAGAAGGAGCAAUGACUGUGCAGCUAAUAAUCUCGUAGACUGGGACAUCAUUAUUAGAACUAUAGAAGAAAAAACUGGAAGGAGUUCAGAGAAACAGCACAAGGAUGAUUACGGGCUCAGUGUGGUUGAUUUAUGAGAAUAAAUUAACAAGCCAAACUUGUCUCA